RNAcentral lists this long non-coding RNA (376 nucleotides) under Bos taurus (domestic cattle). RNAcentral's name for it is "long non-coding RNA NONBTAT018879". The record is from RNAcentral. Lineage: Eukaryota; Metazoa; Chordata; Mammalia; Artiodactyla; Bovidae.
UAUGGAUACACUCUCUACAAGUUCCCAUUACCUCUUUUUUUUCAGUUGUCCCUUUUUAAUAAUAGGAACUUUCUACAUCUUGUAAAAAUAUGUGGUCAUGUUAACAUGCCUAAUCUGAUUGUUUCCUUAAAAUGUGUUGGGUUUUUUUCCCAUAGAAAACAUUAAGGCACACACUAAACAGUAUCUUUGUUCAUCUACAAAAUUUUAAAAUUAUUUGGCAGUAAUUGCUCUGAGUUCUAUCUUCCUCCCCCAAUAGGCAAAACUUCCUAUUUGAGAAUUUAAACCGGUCCCUGCAUCUCACUGGAAAGCCUAGUGACUCUCAGCGUGGAAAUGGGCGGGAUUCGCUCACUGGCUCUACUCCAGCCUGGGUUUCCAA